This 425-nucleotide ribosomal RNA is filed under the name uncultured bacterium. RNAcentral's name for it is "partial 16S ribosomal RNA". It matches the Rfam family "Bacterial small subunit ribosomal RNA", at positions 354 to 796 of the family's 1533-position model. The record is from RNAcentral.
GUGGGGAAUCUUAGACAAUGGGGGAAACCCUGAUCUAGCCAUGCCGCGUGAGCGAUGAAGGCCUUAGGGUUGUAAAGCUCUUUCAGCUGGGAAGAUAAUGACGGUACCAGCAGAAGAAGCCCCGGCUAACUCCGUGCCAGCAGCCGCGGUAAUACGGAGGGGGCUAGCGUUGUUCGGAAUUACUGGGCGUAAAGCGCGCGUAGGCGGACCAGAAAGUUGGAGGUGAAAUCCCAGGGCUCAACCUUGGAACUGCCUUCAAAACUCCUGGUCUGGAGUUCGAGAGAGUUGGGUGGAAUUCCGAGUGUAGAGGUGAAAUUCGUAGAUAUUCGGAGGAACACCAGUGGCGAAGGCGGCUCACUGGCUCGAUACUGACGCUGAGGUGCGAAAGCGUGGGGAGCAAACAGGAUUAGAUACCCGGGUAGUCC